Molecule: ribosomal RNA, 468 nt
Filed under: uncultured bacterium
Lineage: Bacteria
Description: partial 16S ribosomal RNA
Rfam family: Bacterial small subunit ribosomal RNA
Source: RNAcentral
GACGAACGCUGGCGGCGUGCUUAACACAUGCAAGUCGAACGGAAAGGCCCUGCUUUUGUGGGGUGCUCGAGUGGCGAACGGGUGAGUAACACGUGAGUAACCUGCCCUUGACUUUGGGAUAACUUCAGGAAACUGGGGCUAAUACCGGAUAGGAGCUCCUGCUGCAUGGUGGGGGUUGGAAAGUUUCGGCGGUUGGGGCUGGACUCGCGGCUUAUCAGCUUGUUGGUGGGGUAGUGGCUUACCAAGGCUUUGACGGGUAGCCGGCCUGAGAGGGUGACCGGCCACAAUGGGACUGAGAGACGCCCCAGACUCCUACGGGAGGCAGCAGUGGGGAAUAUUGCACAAUGGGCGGAAGCCUGAUGCAGCAACGCCGCGUGCGGGAUGACGGCCUUCGGGUUGUAAACCGCUGUCGCCUGUGACGAAGCGUGAGUGACGGUAAUGGGUAAAGAAGCACCGGCUAACUACGUG